Molecule: ribosomal RNA, 434 nt
Filed under: uncultured bacterium
Lineage: Bacteria
Description: partial 16S ribosomal RNA
Rfam family: Bacterial small subunit ribosomal RNA
Source: RNAcentral
AGCGAACGCUGGCGGCAGGCCUAACACAUGCAAGUCGAACGAACCUUUCGGGGUUAGUGGCGGACGGGUGAGUAACACGUGGGAACGUGCCUUUAGGUUCGGAAUAACUCAGGGAAACUUGUGCUAAUACCGAAUGUGCCCUUCGGGGGAAAGAUUUAUCGCCUUUAGAGCGGCCCGCGUCUGAUUAGCUAGUUGGUUGAGGUAAUGGCUCACCAAGGCGACGAUCAGUAGCUGGUCUGAGAGGAUGAUCAGCCACAUUGGGACUGAGACACGGCCCAAACUCCUACGGGAGGCAGCAGUGGGGAAUCUUGCGCAAUGGGCGAAAGCCUGACGCAGCCAUGCCGCGUGAAUGAUGAAGGACUUAGGAUUGUAAAAUUCUUUCACCGGGGACGAUAAUGACGGUACCCGGAGAAGAAGCCCCGGCUAACUUCGUG